Molecule: ribosomal RNA, 468 nt
Filed under: uncultured bacterium
Lineage: Bacteria
Description: partial 16S ribosomal RNA
Rfam family: Bacterial small subunit ribosomal RNA
Source: RNAcentral
GACGAACGCUGGCGGCGGGCCUAACACAUGCAAGUCGAACGGAAAGGCCCUGCUGUUUGGUGGUGCUCGAGCGGCGAACGGGUGAGUAACACGUGAGUAGCCUGCCCUUGGCUGUGGGGUAACUUCAGGAAACUGGGGCUGAUACCGGAUAGGAGCUUCUGCUGCAUGGUGGGGGGGGGAUAGGUGCGGCGGGUGGUGAUGGACGCGCGGCUGAUCAGCUUGUUGGUGGGGGAGUAGCUUACCAAGGGGGGGACGGGUCGCCCACCUGAGAGGGUGACCGCGCACAUUAGGACUGAGAUACGGAGCAGACGCCUACAGUGCGCAGCAGUGGGAAGUAUUGCACAAUGAUGGGAAGCCUGAUGCGGAAGCGCCCCGUGUGGAAAGACCGCCUUCGGGUUAUGAACCGCUUUCACCUGAGACGAAGCGUGAGUGACGUUACUGGCUAAAGAAGCACCGGCUAACUACGUG